Molecule: long non-coding RNA, 490 nt
Organism: Sphaerodactylus townsendi
Lineage: Eukaryota; Metazoa; Chordata; Lepidosauria; Squamata; Sphaerodactylidae
Exons: 2
Source: RefSeq, a predicted model, not a curated record
UAUCAGCACCAUAAUUAUCCACGCAUUGGUCCCAACCACGUGACGGCCAGGCCAAUGAGGAUUGAAAAUGGCCUUGAUGAUUCAGACGCUGGUGACGUCACCGGGGUCAAGUUGUCGGGAGAGGAGAAAACCAGCGUGGAGCAACAGCGACAUCUAUCAGUUUCGGAAGGGUAGAGAACCCGGGACCUUCACGUUGAACAAAGGAGAGAGAGAGAGAGAGAGAGAGAGAGAGAGAGAGAGACCCUUUCCCUCGCGUUUGUUUACCAAUGAACGAACGCGUGUCUACAGCAGAGUGGGGGGAAAAUAAAGGAAGCCAACGCGUAAAUAGAAGCAAAGUCAAAUUCAAAUUAAAAGCCACAGACGGCCAAGAAAUUUCCAGCGCAUUCGACGUUGUACCCAUAUCCCUGAAGACUUGACAAAGAGUGUUUCAAAUGUGUAAAGCUGGUGAAGAUUAAAAAAAAAUAAUAAAGCACGGGUGGUGUUUACUGGC